UAUUUUUAUUGAUUUUUUCCCUCAUUUUUGUUUAGUGUGCGAUUAAUAGCAAAAGUAGGCGAGACACUGCAUGGGUUCCGGGGAACCCUUACGAAUUUUCCAUAUUUUACUGAUAAAUUGACUUAGUUUUUUGCAAUUAACAUUUAUAUGAAGUCUCGGGUUAAAGUUUAUUAGUCUUCAAUAAUUGUGUCAAACCUUCAUGGAAUAUAAAUGUUACAGAUGCUUUUCUAUGAUUAAAAAACAAUAUUCAAGAGC
Molecule: long non-coding RNA, 255 nt
Filed under: Mytilus galloprovincialis (Mediterranean mussel)
Lineage: Eukaryota; Metazoa; Mollusca; Bivalvia; Mytilida; Mytilidae
Source: RNAcentral